UCAGCUGUAAGCCUGUAAAUCGGUUAAUCGGUUAACCGGUUAAACCGAUUAACCGAUUUUUUUAAUUAAUAUUAUAUUAUAUUAAAAUUUAAAAAACCCCACAAAUAGUUAGGGUUUGAAACAUUGAAAUUGAGCUCACAUCCGCCUCCCCUUGCUUGCUUCCCAUUCCUACCGGCGCCUCCCUUACCUCCCACCGGCACCGGCGCCGCUGCCUCCCCCUUGGUGCUCUGCCAGUCAGCCUGCACUCCGCCGAGUCGCCGACGCUCUCCCAGUCCCAGGUCCGCCGCUGGCCCGCUGCAUUUGCCAUCACCGACAGCCGCCCGCCACCCCAGCUGCCGUCACCUCGUUCACCGCACUCCCCCGGCGCCACUCCCUCUGCCUUGUUCUUCUUCUCGGCGAUAACUCACUCCGCCGCUAGCGACCAGCGUCGCCCCCUCCACAGCGUCGCUGCUGUGCAUUCAGGUAUUAACGAAUAACAAUCUCUUCUUUUCUUUCUUUUUUAGGUAUCGUCCAAUUUGGUUUUUGGAGGUGGUGAAUUGUGAUAGAGUGCGACUUUGAAAGAGUAUUUUAAUUUUGUAAAAUAGUUGCUGGUGUAAAUAGUUAUGUUAGAUGUAAAUAAUGGCUUGAUAGUUGCUGGUGUAUUUUAAUUUUAUAGAUAGUUGCUGUAAAUAAUUUUGUGGAAUAGUUGUUGUUAUGGCUUGAUAAAUUUUGGUUUCGAUAUGUAAAAAUUGAUUGAAAGAG
This 741-nucleotide long non-coding RNA is filed under the name Salvia miltiorrhiza (redroot sage). RNAcentral describes it as "long non-coding RNA (SMIL_LNC004278)". The record is from RNAcentral. Lineage: Eukaryota; Viridiplantae; Streptophyta; Magnoliopsida; Lamiales; Lamiaceae.